GGUGAGUUGGCAGAACGGCUAUUGCACCAGUCUUGAAAACUGGCAUCCGGAAGGAUUUCUGGGUUCGAAUCCCAGGCUCACCGCAA
Molecule: transfer RNA, 86 nt
Filed under: Bacteroidota bacterium
Lineage: Bacteria; Pseudomonadati; Bacteroidota
Description: Bacteroidetes bacterium (microbial mat metagenome) tRNA-Ser
Rfam family: tRNA
About the family: Transfer RNA (tRNA) molecules are approximately 80 nucleotides in length. Their secondary structure includes four short double-helical elements and three loops (D, anti-codon, and T loops).
Source: RNAcentral